Molecule: ribosomal RNA, 1375 nt
Filed under: uncultured bacterium
Lineage: Bacteria
Description: bacterial SSU rRNA
Rfam family: Bacterial small subunit ribosomal RNA
Source: RNAcentral
AGAGUUUGAUCCUGGCUCAGGAUGAACGCUGGCGGCGUGCCUAACACAUGCAAGUCGGACGGUUAAGCCGGCUUCGGCCGGGAAUACAGUGGCGAACGGGUGAGUAACACGUGACCAACCUGCCCCCCGCUCCGGGACAACCGCUGGAAACGGCGGCUAAUACCGGGUACUCCGCGGGCCCCGCAUGGGGCCGGCGGGAAAACCCAGGCGGCGGGGGAUGGGGUCGCGGCCCAUUAGGUAGUAGGCGGGGUAGAGGCCCACCUAGCCGACGAUGGGUAGCCGGACUGAGAGGUCGACCGGCCACAUUGGGACUGAGAUACGGCCCAGACUCCUACGGGAGGCAGCAGUGGGGAAUUUUGCGCAAUGGGGGAAACCCUGACGCAGCAACGCCGCGUGCGGGACGAAGGCCCUCGGGCUGUAAACCGCUUUCAGCAGGGAAGACAUCGACGGUACCUGCAGAAGAAGCUCCGGCUAACUACGUGCCAGCAGCCGCGGUAAUACGUAGGGGGCGAGCGUUAUCCGGAUUCAUUGGGCGUAAAGCGCGCGUAGGCGGCCGCCUAAGCGGAACCUCUAACCCCGGGGCUCAACCUCGGGCCGGGUUCCGGACUGGGCGGCUCGAGUGCGGUAGAGGAGAGCGGAAUUCCCGGUGUAGCGGUGGAAUGCGCAGAUAUCGGGAAGAACACCGAUGGCGAAGGCAGCUCUCUGGGCCGUCACUGACGCUGAGGCGCGAAAGCUGGGGGAGCGAACAGGAUUAGAUACCCUGGUAGUCCCAGCCGUAAACGAUGGACGCUAGGUGUGGGGGGACCUGCCCUCCGUGCCGCAGCCAACGCAUUAAGCGUCCCGCCUGGGGAGUACGGCCGCAAGGCUAAAACUCAAAGGAAUUGACGGGGGCCCGCACAAGCAGCGGAGGAACAUGUGGUUUAAUUCGAUGAUACGCGAGGAACCUUACCCGGGCUCAAACGGCAGAUGACGGAGGAAGAGACUUCUCCUCCCGCAAGGGCAUCUGCCGAGGUGCUGCAUGGCUGUCGUCAGCUCGUGCCGUGAGGUGUCGGCUUAAGUGCCAUAACGAGCGCAACCCCUGCUGACAGUUGCUAACAGGUUAAGCUGAGGACUCUGUCAGGACUGCCGGCGCAAGCCGAGAGGAAGGCGGGGAUGACGUCAAAUCAGCACGGCCCUUACGUCCGGGGCGACACACGUGUUACAAUGGCCGGUACAGCGGGAAGCCAGGCGGCGACGCCGAGCGGAACCCGAAAGCCGGUCUCAGUUCGGAUCGGAGUCUGCAACCCGACUCCGUGAAGCUGGAUUCGCUAGUAAUCGCGCAUCAGCCAUGGCGCGGUGAAUACGUUCCCGGGCCUUGCACACACCGCCCGUCAAG